UUAUCUUUAUAGGUUUUGUGAUAAUGUUAGAUUGAAAUCAUGCUGUUACUAGGAUCAUAGCAAUGUUUUAAAAAUCGGCUCGAGCCUUGAACUCGGCCCUGGGUCGAGCCUAAGUAACGUGCGUUAGUCUGGUCGACUCGGCCAAGCAACGUGCAAGGCAGAAAAAGCCCUAAAAAAAUUUAAAAACUUAAUAUAUAUAUAUAUAUAUAUUUUAAAUUUGCUAAAAAAUAAACUGGCCAAAAAACAUAAAAAGUCUAAAUAAGCUUAAAAAUAUAGAUUUAGAAACAAUUGAUUUAUAGUUGGAGACAUUUUGUGAAAAUCUUAAAAACAAAGAAAAAUAUAAAAAUAAUGUAUAUGGCAAGAAAAAAUAACAAAUCGUUUUGUGUCGUUUUUAUGAAGCGAAAAGUUUAUAUAGAGCCGAGGCUCUAUACCAUCAAAUUAGAACCAGCCUAAAAAAUUUCAUUAGAAGAUGUUGGUUUGAUGCCCAAAUGUCCUCAAAUUGAUCAUCUCAACAUCAAGAUAGAUAGACAUGAGAAAAAAAUGGAUUUGAAGUUGUGAAAAUAGUGUAUUUUGUAAUGCAUAUUUGGACCGUCAAUUUUCAAGAUUUUCAAGUUUUCAUAGAGCUAUUAAUCUACACUAUUUUUCAAGCUUUAAACUUUAUAAACAAAGCUGAAAAUAUAUUUUAAGGCUAUCACAAAAAUUUUCAGUAUUGAAACCAUAUUUCUCAAAACUAUUUGAAAGUAGGCUCUAAUUUGAUUGUUCAAGCCUAGGCUCUAUACAAACCGCACCCUUUAUAAAUUGAUCAGGGAAAAGUUUAUAUAGAGCAGAGGCUCUAAACAAUUAAAUUUGAGCCUACUUAAAAAAUUUCAUUAGAAGAUGUAGUUUUGAUGCUUAAAUAUCUUCAAAUUGAUCAUCUUGACAUCAAGAUGCAUGGACCGGAGAAAAAAUUGGAUUUCGGGUUUUGGAAAUAGUAUAUUUUGUAACGCUUUUUUUUACCGUCAAUUUUCAAGAUUUUCAAGUUUUCAUAAAUAUGUCGAUCAACACUAUUUUUGAAGCUUUAAACUUUAUGAAUAAAUAUAAAAAUAUAUUUUAAGGCUAUUACAAAGAUUUUCAGUAGUGAAACCACAUUUCUCGACAUUAUUUGAAGGUAGGCUCUAAUUUGAUUGUUUAGAGCCUAGGCUCUAUAUAAACCACACCCUUUAUAUAAUUUUUAUUUAUUUUUAUUUUUUUGAUGUAUCGAAGUUGUACGAGCCGACCUUUAAAUAGGGUUGAGAAAUGUGGUUUUAAUACUGAAAAUCUCCCUUAUAGCCUCAAAAUGUAUUUUCAUCUCUAAUUAUAAAAUUUAAAGCUUAAAGAAUAGUGUAGAUCGAGAAUAUCUAUAAAAAGCCGAGCUAUAAAAACUUGAAAAUUGACGGUCCAAAAAUGCAUUACAAGAUGCAUUAUUUUUUGAAAUUAGAGAUUUAUUUAUUUAUCAUAUCCAUGCGUCUUGAUAUCGAGAUGAUCGAUUUAAAGAUAUUUGAGCAUCAAAGCGAUCUCUUCUAGUGAAAUUUUUGAGGUGUAUUCUAAUUUGAUUGUUUAGAACUUCUGCUUUAUAUUACUAUAUUAAAUGUUGUUUAAAAACUCUGAAAGGUGGGUCAAAUGGAUAAAAGAAAUAAAAAAUAUAAAAAUUAGUUAUUAUCAUCGUCAAAGUCUUUUGCUUGGAGUUGCCACACNN
This 1714-nucleotide long non-coding RNA is filed under the name Amborella trichopoda. Its description in RNAcentral is "long non-coding RNA (ATRI_LNC005462)". Lineage: Eukaryota; Viridiplantae; Streptophyta; Magnoliopsida; Amborellales; Amborellaceae. The record is from RNAcentral.